Molecule: ribosomal RNA, 497 nt
Filed under: uncultured bacterium
Lineage: Bacteria
Description: partial 16S ribosomal RNA
Rfam family: Bacterial small subunit ribosomal RNA
Source: RNAcentral
GAUGAACGCUGGCGGCGUGCCUAAUACAUGCAAGUCGAGCGAACGGACGAGAAGCUUGCUUCUCUGAUGUUAGCGGCGGACGGGUGAGUAACACGUGGAUAACCUACCUAUAAGACUGGGAUAACUUCGGGAAACCGGAGCUAAUACCGGAUGAUAUUUUGAACCGCAUGGUUCAAAAGUGAAAGACGGUCUUGCUGUCACUUAUAGAUGGAUCCGCGCUGCAUUAGCUAGUUGGUAAGGUAACGGCUUACCAAGGCAAUGAUGCAUAGCCGACCUGAGAGGGUGAUCGGCCACACUGGAACUGAGACACGGUCCAGACUCCUACGGGAGGCAGCAGUAGGGAAUCUUCCGCAAAGGGCGAAAGCCUGACGGAGCAACGCCGCGUGAGUGAUGAAGGUCUUCGGAUCGUAAAACUCUGUUAUUAGGGAAGAACAUAUGUGUAAGUAACUGUGCACAUCUUGACGGUACCUAAUCAGAAAGCCACGGCUAACUACGUG